Molecule: unclassified non-coding RNA, 177 nt
Filed under: uncultured fungus
Lineage: Eukaryota; Fungi
Description: sequence contains ITS1
Source: RNAcentral
UUGAUUGAUUCAUGUUUCGCUCGGACGCCAGGAUGCAGAGUUGGGGGGCCGCCGGGGGCCCCGGAGCCCGAAGGCCGGGUCGCCCCCGAGGCAACGUGGUCGGAAAACAAUGGGUGGGAGGUCGGGCCGCGAGGCCCUCACUCGGUAAUGAUCCCUCCGCAGGUUCACCUACGGAGA